CUCUUCACAUGGAAACACAUGAAAUUUGGUGCCGUGACUCGUAUCGGGGGACCUCCCUUGGGAGAUCAAUCCCGUCCUCCUGUUUUUUGCUCCAUGAGAAAGAUCCACCUACGACCUCAGGUCCUCAGACCAACCAGCCCAAGAAACAUCUCACCAAUUUCAAAUCCUCAUCAACAUCUCCCGUCUCAUCAUGGGAGACACUCAUCCAGAAGCAAAUCUCAGCCAACAGGAGCGGAGCCAACGUGGGUGGCUGCAACUGCAGUAAGAUUGCCACCAUUCGGGGGCCAGCCAGGAUCUCAUGCCUAGUGCUGCUUUGGUGGCUAUGAUGGACCAUUUCAACAGGUGACCACAUGGAGAAUUGAGCAACAUAUUCUUAUGGAAACAGCACCUGUACAGGGAAAGGCACAGCAUGUGGGGAAACACAGGAAACAACACAGAGGAAGAAGAAGCACUUGAGGAGACAGUGUUCCUCUGAGCUCCGCGUGCUGUGUUGUCUGCUGGGCGGCUGGCGGAGGACCAGGGCACAGAGCAGUAUUUAACUGCUCAGCUCUUGCUCUGAACAGCUGAGCUAUAAAUGCUCAUACCUCAGCCGAAGAAUAAGCAACCUAAUCUUAACUUGUAUUCCAGUAAAAAUAAAAAUAUGUUGGGUUGGAAGAAA
Molecule: long non-coding RNA, 658 nt
Filed under: Pan troglodytes (chimpanzee)
Lineage: Eukaryota; Metazoa; Chordata; Mammalia; Primates; Hominidae
Description: lincRNA
Source: RNAcentral